RNAcentral lists this long non-coding RNA (276 nucleotides) under Helianthus annuus (common sunflower). Its description in RNAcentral is "hypothetical non coding rna". Lineage: Eukaryota; Viridiplantae; Streptophyta; Magnoliopsida; Asterales; Asteraceae. The record is from RNAcentral.
AUGCAGACCAAGUUUUUCCGAACUGCUUACAAACAACACGAAGUCCAGCAGGUUCGGGUCAACGCCCACCAAGACCAUGUGUAGGUCUGCUCCUGUUCGGGUGAAUGCAGGGUUAAAUGGUUAAUAUAAAAAAAUAAAUGGUUUACUUACUAAUGACGUCGAUAAUAUAUAGCAAAUGUGCACAAACAUUUUUUUUCAAUGUGAUUUUGUUGUUCUUCUUAAUGCUAACUGGGUUACAUCUCAUGACAGAUUUAUAAUCCCAUGAUAGAACCUGAU